Molecule: ribosomal RNA, 122 nt
Filed under: Ilyonectria destructans
Lineage: Eukaryota; Fungi; Ascomycota; Sordariomycetes; Hypocreales; Nectriaceae
Description: partial large subunit ribosomal RNA
Source: RNAcentral
CGGCAACAGCUCAAAUUUGAAAUCUGGCCCUCGGGUCCGAAUUGUAAUUUGUAGAGGAUGCUUUUGGUGAGGUACCUUCCGAGUUCCCUGGAACGGGACGCCAUAGAGGGUGAGAAUCCCGU